GGUGUAGCUCAUGGUGGAGUGCACACUUGGCAUGUGUGAGGCCUGGGUUCCAUCCCCAGCACC
Molecule: transfer RNA, 63 nt
Filed under: Urocitellus parryii (Arctic ground squirrel)
Lineage: Eukaryota; Metazoa; Chordata; Mammalia; Rodentia; Sciuridae
Also listed under: 1 other name
Description: Spermophilus parryii (Arctic ground squirrel) tRNA
Rfam family: tRNA
About the family: Transfer RNA (tRNA) molecules are approximately 80 nucleotides in length.
Source: Rfam by way of RNAcentral